RNAcentral lists this ribosomal RNA (253 nucleotides) under uncultured bacterium. RNAcentral's name for it is "partial 16S ribosomal RNA". It matches the Rfam family "Bacterial small subunit ribosomal RNA", at positions 524 to 776 of the family's 1533-position model. The record is from RNAcentral.
GACGAACCUUGCUAACGUUAUUCGGAAUUACUGGGCUUAAAGGGUGCGUAGGCGGUGCAGCAAGUCGGGUGUGAAAUCCCUCAGCUCAACUGAGGAACGGCGCCCGAAACUGCUGUGCUCGAGGAAGAUAGAGGUACGCGGAACUUAGGGUGGAGCGGUGAAAUGCGUUGAUAUCCUAAGGAACACCGGUGGCGAAGGCAGCGUCCUGGGAAGUGACUGACGCUCAUGUGCGAAAGCUAGGGGAGCGAACGGG